UAGGGAUACUUGUCUAAACUUAAGAGAUAU
Molecule: non-coding RNA, 30 nt
Filed under: Rattus norvegicus (Norway rat)
Lineage: Eukaryota; Metazoa; Chordata; Mammalia; Rodentia; Muridae
Source: RNAcentral